AUGGCGGGGCGCAAGGAGACGGCGCUCAACCUGGCCAAGUUCGUCGAUAAGGGCGUCCAGGUCAAGCUCACCAGCGGCCGCCAAGUUACAGGAACUUUAAAGGGAUAUGACCUACUGCUGAACUUAGUGCUGGAUCAAGCAGUCGAGUCUGAAAGACGCAUCGUCGACAGGCUGAACGUCGUUGACCACAUCAAGGUUCUGACAAGGACACUAGCUAGAGCGCACUGCCGCUCCUCUUCUUGCAUGCAACAUAAUCUGAAAUUCAUUCAGUUCCACUAUGCAUAA
RNAcentral lists this ribosomal RNA (285 nucleotides) under Triticum aestivum (bread wheat). RNAcentral's name for it is "partial small subunit ribosomal RNA". Lineage: Eukaryota; Viridiplantae; Streptophyta; Magnoliopsida; Poales; Poaceae. The record is from RNAcentral.